GAUGAACGCUGGCGGCGUGCCUAAUACAUGCAAGUCGAGCGAACGGACGAGAAGCUUGCUUCUCUGAUGUUAGCGGCGGACGGGUGAGUAACACGUGGAUAACCUACCUAUAAGACUGGGAUAACUUCGGGAAACCGGAGCUAAUACCGGAUAAUAUUUUGAACCGCAUGGUUCAAAAGUGAAAGACGGUCUUGCUGUCACUUAUAGAUGGAUCCGCGCUGCAUUAGCUAGUUGGUAAGGUAACGGCUUACCAAGGCAACGAUGCAUAGCCGACCUGAGAGGGUGAUCGGCCACACUGGAACUGAGACACGGUUCAGACUCCUACGGGAGGCAGCAGUAGGGAAUCUUCCGCAAUGGGCGAAAGCCUGACGGAGCAACGCCGCGUGAGUGAUGAAGGUCUUCGGAUCGUAAAACUCUGUUAUUAGGGAAGAACAUAUGUGUAAGUAACUGUGCACAUCUUGACGGUACCUAAUCAGAAAGCCACGGCUAACUACGUG
RNAcentral lists this ribosomal RNA (497 nucleotides) under uncultured bacterium. RNAcentral describes it as "partial 16S ribosomal RNA". It matches the Rfam family "Bacterial small subunit ribosomal RNA", at positions 28 to 507 of the family's 1533-position model. The record is from RNAcentral.